CACGUAGGGCGCAAGCGUUGUCCGGAAUUAUUGGGCGUAAAGAGCUCGUAGGCGGUCUGUCGCGUCGGCUGUGAAAACCCGGGGCUCAACCCCGGGCCUGCAGUCGAUACGGGCAGACUAGAGUGUGGUAGGGGAGACUGGAAUUCCUGGUGUAGCGGUGGAAUGCGCAGAUAUCAGGAGGAACACCGGUGGCGAAGGCGGGUCUCUGGGCCGUUACUGACGCUGAGGAGCGAAAGCGUGGGGAGCGAACAGG
Molecule: ribosomal RNA, 253 nt
Filed under: uncultured bacterium
Lineage: Bacteria
Description: partial 16S ribosomal RNA
Rfam family: Bacterial small subunit ribosomal RNA
Source: RNAcentral